RNAcentral lists this ribosomal RNA (227 nucleotides) under uncultured bacterium. RNAcentral describes it as "partial 16S ribosomal RNA". It matches the Rfam family "Bacterial small subunit ribosomal RNA", at positions 524 to 750 of the family's 1533-position model. The record is from RNAcentral.
UACGUAGGGCGCAAGCGUUGUCCGGAAUUAUUGGGCGUAAAGAGCUCGUAGGCGGUUUGUCGCGUCUGCUGUGAAAACCUAAGGCUCAACCUUGGGCUUGCAGUGGGUUACGGGCAGACUAGAGUGCGGUAGGGUGACUGGAAUUCCUGGUGUAGCGGUGGAAUGCGCAGAUAUCAGGAGGAACACCGAUGGCGAAGGCAGGUCACUGGGCCGCAACUGACGCUGAG